CGCGCGUCCGGAAGUCCCGCCCCCCUCGCAGGCGCGCGUGACGCACGGCGCGGGCGCUGACGGCAUUAAAGGGCGACGCCGGGGAGGAAGCGAGGUGGCGGUGGCGGUGGCUUGUGGGCCUGCGUGUGCUGUCCCGGCGGCGGGCUGGCACCCGCGCCCGCCUCCAGGCUCCGCUGCUGGGCCAGACGGCGGGGGUGGCGCGCUGAGCCCGGCGCAGAAAGAUACGCCCGGGGUUUCAGAGUCGAUGGAGUGUAUUCAGCUGUUAUAUUAUUUAUGACUCUCUGGAUGUCGACGAAAUGAUUGACAACACGUGAUGAUUACGGAGCCUCCACUGCUGUGUCCGUGAGCAGACUCUUGGAAAAGCCUGCAUUCGUGCAACAAUGAAUGAGUGAUGAGCUACCUGGUGGACCGGCCCGGACUCUCAUCUCUCAUCUAGAGGCUUUAGAACCUCGGCCAACACACCCUUCUCAGGUCACGGCUGCUGUUCUUGUCCACAUCCCAUCAAAACUGGGCAGAGAGGCAGGCUCAGGCCAUCGGGAGUUGCCUGAGGCCCACCCACGCUGGGAAGAGGGUCUGCUUUGCUGGGCCUGCCAAUUCAAAUUCAAAUUUCAUCUGGAAACACCAUCACAGAUAUACCCAGAAUGAUACUCAACCUGGGCACCCCACGGCCAGUCAAACUGACACAAAAAAUUACCCAUCCCCCAGUAAGCCUCCUACAGGAGCAAUUCCUCAAGUCCACUGUCUCAGAUGAGACAAAUGUCCCCAAGCUCAGGCUUGCUGCCUCAUGGUCACAAGAUGGUGUCACAACUCCAUCUAUCAUGUGCUCCUGCCAGUAUCCCAGCCAGAAAGGGAGGGAAGGAGGCCAAAGAAAAAAAAUAAAAAGAUAAAAGAUCUCUCCAGAAAUCCUGUUUUAUCCAGGAAGGGCAGUCCCCCCAGCCGGCUUCCUUGUGAGCCAGAACUAAGUCAGCCCCAAUCACUAGGGAGAGCGGACUGCUGGCCGGACUCCUUGGAACUUCCCCUGUGCGGCCAGGGGAGGAGUCACUGCCCAUCCGAGCUACAGGCCCCAGCCCACGACAAUUUCCAGCUUCUGUUUGCAGAGAGGAGGGCGACUGGCUGGGGAAGUAUCAGUCGGUGCCCCUCAAGGCGGGAGAGGUCAAGGGCAUGGGGGGGUGGCGGGGGAGACGCCGG
Molecule: long non-coding RNA, 1188 nt
Organism: Panthera uncia (snow leopard)
Lineage: Eukaryota; Metazoa; Chordata; Mammalia; Carnivora; Felidae
Exons: 4
Source: RefSeq, a predicted model, not a curated record